GGUCCGAACGGUGAAGCAGGAGCUUGCUCUUGUGGAUCAGUGGCGAACGGGUCGAGUAACACGUGAGCAACCUGCCCCUGACUCUGGGAUAAGCGCUGGAAACGGCGUCUAAUACUGGAUAUGUGACGUGACCGCAUGGUCUGCGUUUGGAAAGAUUUUUCGGUUGGGGAUGGGCUCGCGGCCUAUCAGCUUGUUGGUGAGGUAAUGGCUCACCAAGGCGUCGACGGGUAGCCGGCCUGAGAGGGUGACCGGCCACACUGGGACUGAGACACGGCCCAGACUCCUACGGGAGGCAGCAGUGGGGAAUAUUGCACAAUGGGCGAAAGCCUGAUGCAGCAACGCCGCGUGAGGGAUGACGGCCUUCGGGUUGUAAACCUCUUUUAGCAGGGAAGAAGCGAAAGUGACGGUACCUGCAGAAAAAGCGCCGGCUAACUACGUGCCAGCAGCCGCGGUAAUACGUAGGGCGCAAGCGUUAUCCGGAAUUAUUGGGCGUAAAGAGCUCGUAGGCGGUUUGUCGCGUCUGCUGUGAAAUCCCGAGGCUCAACCUCGGGCCUGCAGUGGGUACGGGCAGACUAGAGUGCGGUAGGGGAGAUUGGAAUUCCUGGUGUAGCGGUGGAAUGCGCAGAUAUCAGGAGGAACACCGAUGGCGAAGGCAGAUCUCUGGGCCGUAACUGACGCUGAGGAGCGAAAGGGUGGGGAGCAAACAGCUUAGAUACCCUGGUAGUCCACCCCGUAAACGUUGGGAACUAGUUGUGGGGUCCAUUCCACGGAUUCCGUGACGCAGCUAACGCAUUAAGUUCCCCGCCUGGGGAGUACGGCCGCAAGGCUAAAACUCAAAGGAAUUGACGGGGACCCGCACA
This 860-nucleotide ribosomal RNA is filed under the name Microbacterium sp. TND9. RNAcentral's name for it is "bacterial SSU rRNA". It matches the Rfam family "Bacterial small subunit ribosomal RNA", at positions 60 to 927 of the family's 1533-position model. The record is from RNAcentral. Lineage: Bacteria; Bacillati; Actinomycetota; Actinomycetes; Micrococcales; Microbacteriaceae.